UUGAGAAUAAAAAUGCAUAUUGACAGGCUAAACAUUCCCUAUAUUAAGCCCAUGCUUGUGUGCCCAGACCUAGUUCUUUACCUAGGUCUGGUUUUAUAAAUGCUGGUGAUAAAC
This is a small nucleolar RNA of Capra hircus (goat), 114 nucleotides long. Its record names the gene SNORA72. It matches the Rfam family "Small nucleolar RNA SNORA72". From Rfam's summary of the family: U72 is a member of the H/ACA class of snoRNAs. The snoRNA gene is located in intron 4 of the ribosomal L30 protein gene in human, mouse and chicken. NCBI's taxonomy places the organism in Eukaryota, Metazoa, Chordata, Mammalia, Artiodactyla, Bovidae. The record is from Ensembl.